UUGAGUCCUCUGCCUAGGAAGGAGGGCGACGCCCUGUGUUUGCUGCUAGUUUUGCAGCUAGCCGGAUCCUGGGAAGAUCAGGCUGCGGGGCCUGGCUACAGAGAUGAAAGGAAAACAGUAAGAACGUGUUUGCUACCAGCGCGAUCUUCAAUUUCUGCAAGAAAGAUUUGAAUCUGCCUGUCGUCUCUAAGGUACCUAGCAAGCGGGUAUCUGAGCACCAGAAACAAUAAAAGUUCAAGUCUCCUAGAGUGGCUCAUUGCAGUGCUGAUGUCUUCUUUGAUGCCUCAACACCAAAGCCUUUGGCUCCUAUGUAUUUCAAGGAAGAUUUUUCAGAUGCACUCCUUGAGUCUAAUCUCUACAAUCCUUUAAUCAUUCUCAUGGCUCUUCUCUGAAACUCUACAAUAUAUCAACAUCCUUCUUGAAUUAUGGGCACCAGACCUAGAUGCAGUAUUCCAGCAGCAGUUGCACCAGUGCCAAAU
Chrysemys picta bellii (western painted turtle) is the source of this 479-nucleotide long non-coding RNA. RefSeq lists it as uncharacterized. Lineage: Eukaryota; Metazoa; Chordata; Testudines; Emydidae. The record is from RefSeq and is a predicted model, not a curated record.